RNAcentral lists this ribosomal RNA (492 nucleotides) under uncultured bacterium. Its description in RNAcentral is "partial 16S ribosomal RNA". It matches the Rfam family "Bacterial small subunit ribosomal RNA", at positions 29 to 507 of the family's 1533-position model. The record is from RNAcentral.
AGUGAACGCUGGCGGUAGGCCUAACACAUGCAAGUCGAACGGCAGCACAGUAAGAGCUUGCUCUUACGGGUGGCGAGUGGCGGACGGGUGAGGAAUACAUCGGAAUCUACUUUUUCGUGGGGGAUAACGUAGGGAAACUUACGCUAAUACCGCAUACGACCUACGGGUGAUAGCAGGGGAUCUUCGGACCUUGCACGAUUGAAUGAGCCGAUGUCGGAUUAGCUAGUUGGCGGGGUAAAGGCCCACCAAGGCGACGAUCCGUAGCUGGUCUGAGAGGAUGAUCAGCCACACUGGAACUGAGACACGGUCCAGACUCCUACGGGAGGCAGCAGUGGGGAAUAUUGGACAAUGGGCGCAAGCCUGAUCCAGCCAUACCGCGUGGGUGAAGAAGGCCUUCGGGUUGUAAAGCCCUUUUGUUGGGAAAGAAAAGCAGCAGGUUAAUACCCCGCUGUUCUGACGGUACCCAAAGAAUAAGCACCGGCUAACUUCGUG